This 510-nucleotide ribosomal RNA is filed under the name uncultured bacterium. Its description in RNAcentral is "partial 16S ribosomal RNA". It matches the Rfam family "Bacterial small subunit ribosomal RNA", at positions 28 to 507 of the family's 1533-position model. The record is from RNAcentral.
GACGAACGCUGGCGGCGUGCUUAACACAUGCAAGUCGAACGAAGAGCGAUGGAAGCUUGCUUCUAUCAAUCUUAGUGGCGAACGGGUGAGUAACGCGUAAUCAACCUGCCCUUCAGAGGGGGACAACAGUUGGAAACGACUGCUAAUACCGCAUACGAUCUAAUCUCGGCAUCGAGGAUGGAUGAAAGGUGGCCUCUACAUGUAAGCUAUCACUGAAGGAGGGGAUUGCGUCUGAUUAGCUAGUUGGAGGGGUAACGGCCCACCAAGGCGAUGAUCAGUAGCCGGUCUGAGAGGAUGAACGGCCACAUUGGGACUGAGACACGGCCCAGACUCCUACGGGAGGCAGCAGUGGGGAAUCUUCCGCAAUGGACGAAAGUCUGACGGAGCAACGCCGCGUGAGUGAUGACGGCCUUCGGGUUGUAAAGCUCUGUUGAUCGGGACGAAAGGCCUUCUUGCGAAUAGUGAGAAGGAUUGACGGUACCGGAAUAGAAAGCCACGGCUAACUACGUG